AGGUAGCAAUACCUUGAUGGCGACCGGCGCACGGGUGAGUAACACGUAUCCAACCUGCCGUCUACUCUUGGACAGCCUUCUGAAAGGAAGAUUAAUACAAGAUGGCAUCAUGAGUCCGCAUGUUCACAUGAUUAAAGGUAUUCCGGUAGACGAUGGGGAUGCGUUCCAUUAGAUAGUAGGCGGGGUAACGGCCCACCUAGUCUUCGAUGGAUAGGGGUUCUGAGAGGAUGUCCGGCCACACUGGAACUGAGACACGGUCCAGACUCC
Molecule: ribosomal RNA, 267 nt
Filed under: uncultured Bacteroides sp.
Lineage: Bacteria; Pseudomonadati; Bacteroidota; Bacteroidia; Bacteroidales; Bacteroidaceae
Description: partial 16S ribosomal RNA
Rfam family: Bacterial small subunit ribosomal RNA
Source: RNAcentral